Zingiber officinale is the source of this 722-nucleotide long non-coding RNA. RefSeq lists it as uncharacterized. The transcript has 3 exons. The record is from RefSeq and is a predicted model, not a curated record. NCBI's taxonomy places the organism in Eukaryota, Viridiplantae, Streptophyta, Magnoliopsida, Zingiberales, Zingiberaceae.
CCCACGCCCGCACACGCUGACUCCUCUCUUCCCUCUCCCUCUCGCGAUCUCCUGCAACCCAGCCGUCGACCCUCCUCACGCAAGCACCAAGAUGCUGCCGGCUCUCCUCCUCACGCGAGCCACAGUCGACGACCCCUCUCUUCCGCCUUCUUCUCCCGGCAUGCCCUAGCCACCGCCUCCUUCCCCACCACUUUCCCCGCCUCUGCCCUAGCGCCGACCAACCAGCUCCUAUUUCCCUCGAUUCUCCUUCGAGCCUUGCUCUAGAGCCGCCUUGGGACAUCGCUCAUCCCACCGCCUUGCUCCUCCUUCAUUGAAGUGGUAUCUCGGUCACCAGUGCUAGCACCCAGCGGUGGCCAGCCACGUGACCCCCGACAACCUUUCAUCUGAUCUGGACAACCUUCAUCUUCAUCACCUCUGUGAACUUCCGCUAAAGAGGAGAAGCAUUGGGUUUUAACUCUGAUUUGAAGCGAACUCUAGGGUGUGUUGAUAUUCCGGCGCGAUCUACAAUAAAAGCGGGUUGAGGCUGUCCGGAGCAGUUCCAGUCGCUGGCCCCCCAUCAGCACGUAGAGCCAGUUCUCUGCUGGUUUGAGUCUUAUUGAUAUUUUGGUUUUUUCCAUAUAGAACGUUGUCUUAUUCUGGUUUUGGAUCUUUAUUUAUGGAAUGUGUAUGGUUUAUUUUUGUUUGAUGAACUCUUGAUGUGAUUUUUGGAUUCUAUUCUACUA